AUUUCUUGUUUCACUGGCAGCUGGACAAUACUAUAUAUAAGGGUUAGAAUUUUAAAGAAGCAUUUAGUGUGUAAAAACAGUUUAAUUUUCAAACAUAGUAAUACAUAUUUAAUUUAAUCUUUUACUGAUUUAGAAUUUUAGGUAAAAAAUAGAUAAAUUAUAUAUAUCAGGGAUUUAAAACAAUGAAAACCAAAACUAUUUUCUUCCCUAUCAAUUUUUUAAUAGAAUAAUCCUAGGUAAGAAAAAGUUCAGGAAAAAAGCAUGCUGAAACUUUGGGUUAGGUGAAUAAAAAUCUUUACAGGUAGCAUCAAGGUAGAUUUAAAUCUAACAGUACCAACUGGUCAAUUUAAAUGUCCCUAUUGUGUUGUCAAUUUUAAAAACAGGUUGAGCUAUAGGUAAAGUUUUACAGUAACACCUAUAAGCAACUCACUGUAACUAUAUUUAUACCUGAUAAUCUAUAAUUGUAUAUUAUUUAGAAUUUGUUAAUUAGAGCUUUUUAUUUGUUAAUGAGAGCUUUUUAUUUGGUAAUGAGAGCUUUUUAUUUUGUAAUGAGAGCUUUUCACAUGUCUACACAAAAUAAGUCUUUAGAUGUUCUGUAGUCAUCCUAUUAAGGCUUUUUUUUUUUUUUUUUUAAAGAUAGAUGUUUAAUUUGAGUAUAUUUCUUGUAUGACUUGGGUUUUACAAAUAUAGCCACAUAAAUAGGGAUAAAAGUUCCUCUGUAUUUUGUAUGACAGAAUUUGUAUGUUUGGAUGUUUUAAUUAAAAAAAAAACUUUCCCGUCUACAAAUUAUUUAGAAUUAUUUUGCAUUAUUCAUUCUGGCAAGAAUUGUUUAUGUUUCAAAAAGGUAAACCAAAAAACAAGAUAAAACUAGCAAGUGGUAUGAAAGGUUUUUGUUAAAAAUCUUGUUUGUGGGAAUAUUAAUGCAUUGAUGAAAAAAAUGAUUUUCAAUGAAGUUAAUUUGCGAAGUAGAAAUUAAAAUAAUAAAAAAAUCUUUAACUUAUGACUUUUUUUACUCCUUUUUCUCAGGAAUCAGUGAUUUGUUUUUCUUAUUCCACUGAAGUAUAUGUUUUGUAUGAAUGAUUUGAUUGUAUGUACUUUUUAUUGACAAUUUUUGUGUGUUUUUAUAGUUUGUUCGCUAAGUUUUCUUGUUUUGAUCACCUUGUCCUAAAGGUCUUUGUGUAAACUGUUGCUUUCACUCAAUGUCUGUGUAUCAUAGUAUGCCAGACUUUGAUAUUAAAUUCCCUCGCUUGAAGCUUGCUAUUAUACCAAAGAACCUGUUUGAAUCAGCCAAAAAAAUGACUAUACCAACCAACGAUCAUGGUGAAUGAAAUUAAAAUCUCCAAUGAUAACACAUUGUCAGUUGUGUCAAAUAAGAAUCUCAAAAUGAUCCUUUUGGUGUACCUAAAGUAAUAAUCUUGCCUUUUGUACAGCUUAGAUGUAAAACACCAGUUAUAAAAUUCCAAAAUAAUACAAAGAUCUGAUUAACAUAGGUCUGAUGUUUUGAACAUUUUUAAGGGAAUUUUUUCAUGAUGCAAAAAUAAGCCAGUGAAUAAUAUUAUUCCUUAUACUUAUCUUUUAAACUGUUGAAGAGAAGUUUAAUUGGUUGAUUGUUAUUGAUGAAUAAAAUUUUAAUCAGAUUAGGGAUGUUGAUUAUUGUGCAUUUUAUUUCAAAUGACACAUAAAGAUGUAGUCAUAAACUGUAUUAAUUUUGAAUAAAAAUAAAACUAUGACAAA
RNAcentral lists this long non-coding RNA (1734 nucleotides) under Mytilus galloprovincialis (Mediterranean mussel). The record is from RNAcentral. Lineage: Eukaryota; Metazoa; Mollusca; Bivalvia; Mytilida; Mytilidae.